GAAAUUUUGUAUGCACGUCGUGCCACAGAUAAGAAAUAAAAAUUCAUAAUGUUUCGUGUCACAACACUUGUAAUAAAUUCACACGAAGCCAUUAAAGUCGCGAGGUGGAAGAAGCGCUAAAUCGGCCACGGCCACCAACAUCCGACUUUAUCAACAAGGAAUUAUGCACAAAGACGUAACUUUAUAUUUUAUAACUGGUGCCUAUACGCCCGUAGAUACGUCAAAAGACUAACAAAUGCACAAAACGACUGCUCAAAGAUUUUUAUGGCGAAGAAACAGAUAGUGACUACGGUUAACUAAGCGCGUUGUACACUCAUACGUAAUGUUUCGCGCACAGAAUUCACGGUACGUAAGUAAAAGUGUUACAACUGAAUAUAAAUACAUUCAAGUGACAGAAAUCAAGAAAAACAAUUAAAUAUUCAAUAUGAAUUGCAAAGUUAAAAACGUUUGCGAAAAUUAAGCAACUUUUCGGACGCAUUCAAAGGAGCGUACAGAUGGCAGCAUGUGUAAAAAUAGUUUCCGAAUUUGACUGCUGAUGGCGUGGUGUUUCAGACAGGUAAAUCAAUAAACCUCCUACGCAGCGAUUGGCUGACAUCAGGGCACACAAACUCACGAACUCUUACGGAGAAAAAACUAAACUGAAAAUUACGUGUUUCGAUUUGAUUGGCUAGACCUGUGUAUCAGCUUUCAAAUACGUGAGAUCGAUGUCAGCCCCGGAAGUGAAAGUCAGUCGUCAUUGAAUUUUGUCGAGAGGCAGUGCAGUCUCCGUGAUUUAAUGUUAGCCUAGGAAUUUAGCUAAGAAGUGAAGACGAGAGGACGGUUCCCUUCCAGUGACGUAUGCAAGAUGGAGACAUUUCACCUUUGGUCUAAUGUAUGUGUACGUGUGAAUUGCAGAGAUGUGACAUUAAACUCCGUGAAUCAACUUUCGACAUUACACGUCUGCACAAAAGAGGAGUGUGUUUCCUAUUGUGACAGCCAAGUAAACUCCACAUGUACCUGAUUCACAGGGGUUGGACGUGUCUAAAUGUGACGUUUGUGUGCAAAUGUAUGCAUAUAUAUAUUUCUGACAAGACGAAUCUUUGUAACAUCUGGAUACAUUAUAGAAUAAACUUUUGA
Non-coding RNA from Zootermopsis nevadensis, 1116 nucleotides. The record is from RefSeq and is a predicted model, not a curated record. NCBI's taxonomy places the organism in Eukaryota, Metazoa, Arthropoda, Insecta, Blattodea, Termopsidae.